UGGUCAGGCGGAAUAAUCCUUAUCUGCUUCUUCUUUUGAAGGGCAGAUUAGAACAUGAUAAUUGGAGAUCACAUGAUACAUCACUAAAGGUUCUGUGUAAUCAGGAUUUACAAUAUCCUGAUUAUUCCUAUGUUAC
Molecule: small nucleolar RNA, 136 nt
Organism: Callithrix jacchus (white-tufted-ear marmoset)
Lineage: Eukaryota; Metazoa; Chordata; Mammalia; Primates; Cebidae
Gene: U8
Rfam family: U8 small nucleolar RNA
About the family: U8 is a member of the C/D class of snoRNA which contain the C (UGAUGA) and D (CUGA) box motifs. U8 is the RNA component of a small complex (the U8 snoRNP) which is required for accumulation of mature large subunit ribosomal RNAs, 5.8S and 28S rRNAs. U8 RNA has been identified in human, mouse, rat and Xenopus.
Source: Ensembl